RNAcentral lists this ribosomal RNA (305 nucleotides) under uncultured bacterium. Its description in RNAcentral is "bacterial SSU rRNA". It matches the Rfam family "Bacterial small subunit ribosomal RNA", at positions 28 to 332 of the family's 1533-position model. The record is from RNAcentral.
GACGAACGCUGGCGGCGUGCUUAACACAUGCAAGUCGAGCGGUAAGGCCCUUUCGGGGUACGACGAGCGGCGAACGGGUGAGUAACACGUGGGUGACCUGCCCUCAGCUCUGGGAGUAAGCCUGGGAAACCGGGUACUAAUACUGGAUAUGACUCCAUGACGCAUGUUGUGGGGUGGAAAGCCUUGUGCGGCUGAGGAUGGGCCCGCGGCCUAUCAGCUUGUUGGUGGGGUGANGGCCUACCAAGGCGACGACGGGUAGCCGGCCUGAGAGGGCGACCGGCCACACUGGGACUGAGACACGGCCC